ACGACUUGUAAUUGAACUUCAGAAAUUUCAUUCCAAAUUUCAGACGGCUCCGUCAAAAUUGUUACUCUAUAACAAUCGUCAAACUGCUUAACUGAAUCAUCAAAUCAUCAACUCCGGCAAGCUACCAUGUCGCCGAUACCUAUCACUAGAGAAGUUUCUUCGUCAUGCUACGAUUUUUCAAUUGAUGUUAAUGAUGAUGAGCAGAAGACAUCUUUCAGUCCUCAGAUUAGACCCAAACCGUCUUCAUGUUUCCCCUUGUCUCAUCAGCUACACGCGCCGCCUCCUGGAAAUCCAAUGGCCACACAAAGGCAGG
This 313-nucleotide unclassified non-coding RNA is filed under the name Hevea brasiliensis (rubber tree). The record is from RNAcentral. Lineage: Eukaryota; Viridiplantae; Streptophyta; Magnoliopsida; Malpighiales; Euphorbiaceae.